Molecule: ribosomal RNA, 499 nt
Filed under: uncultured bacterium
Lineage: Bacteria
Description: partial 16S ribosomal RNA
Rfam family: Bacterial small subunit ribosomal RNA
Source: RNAcentral
GACGAACGCUGGCGGCGUGCCUAAUACAUGCAAGUCGAGCGGACCAAACAGGAGCUUGCUCUUGUUUGGUUAGUGGCGGACGGGUGAGUAACACGUGGGUAACCUGCCCGUAAGACCGGGAUAACUCCGGGAAACCGGAGCUAAUACCGGAUAACACCGAAGACCGCAUGGUCUUUGGUUGAAAGGCGGCUUCGGCUGCCACUUACGGAUGGGCCCGCGGCGCAUUAGCUAGUUGGUGAGGUAACGGCUCACCAAGGCGACGAUGCGUAGCCGGCCUGAGAGGGUGACCGGCCACACUGGGACUGAGACACGGCCCAGACUCCUACGGGAGGCAGCAGUAGGGAAUCUUCCGCAAUGGACGAAAGUCUGACGGAGCGACGCCGCGUGAGCGAAGAAGGUCUUCGGAUCGUAAAGCUCUGUUGUUAGGGAAGAAGAAGCGCCGUUCGAACAGGGCGGCGCGGUGACGGUACCUAACGAGAAAGCCCCGGCUAACUACGUG